This is a long non-coding RNA of Marmota monax (woodchuck), 1980 nucleotides long. RefSeq lists it as uncharacterized. The record is from RefSeq and is a predicted model, not a curated record. NCBI's taxonomy places the organism in Eukaryota, Metazoa, Chordata, Mammalia, Rodentia, Sciuridae. The transcript has 5 exons.
CCGCCUGCGGGGUCUCAGCCGGGGUUUAAAUUGUUCUCUUUAAUCCUGGCUCUGGUUGGUCAAGCCGGUGGCCUGUCCGCGAGCUUCCCGGUUCCUGCGUCUCCCUCGGCCGCACAGCUGGACUGCUGAGGCGCCCGGAGGGAGGCGCCGCCCACCCGGUCCGGGACGCCCACGACGGCGACUCCACCCGGAGACAGCGCCGCGGGAAAGCCGAGCGCCCUGGAUCGCGUGACCCCGAGUGUCCCCAAAGACCUGUCAAAAAGUGGUCGCCAGAGUCGCUCUCCAGAGACCUUUCUGAAUUUCUCGCCCAUGAGGGAAAGGGAACCUAGGCUUAUGGCCAUGCACACAGGCUGCAGGAAUGCAGAUGUUCCAUAGGUUCCUAAGGGACCCUUCCCAGAGGGCCCCAGGUUGAAUUAAACAGGGCAACAAAGUAGCUAAUUGUCCCAAGUUAUAUUUAAUUCCCGUUGUGGAGUGAAGGAUUAACAUGCAUGCUUCAGAUGUGCUUCUGGUGGAAUCUACCUCUUCUCCCUGCCUCUUCUGCCUUCCUCCCAUCCUUCCUCCUUUCUUCUGCCAUGUUUUCAUAUGUGUUUGAUCAAUUACGUUAAAUCAUACGAACUUACGCUUUAUGUACAUCAAAAUUUAUUCCUGGCAAAUUCAUACUUUCAACUUAGUACCCUUUAGAAAAUUUCUGUGUUUUACAGCAUUCAGGGGAAUUGUUUUUGCUUGACCAAAGUCGCAAACAUUCUAAGAAUCACACUGAUUGGAGCAGCUUGUCCUAGUAUGAUGACUAGGGGAGUGUCCUGUGGUGACCUAGCUUGGCUAUUAUGGCUCAGGAGGCGAUUGUUAAAUAUUUGAGAAAUUUGCAAGCUAGUUGUUAAUCCAUUCAUGGCUUGACAUUGGUCCUGGAAGGAAAAUUUACAUCAGGGAAAUCAUCUUUCUACCCUAUGGGAGCUGGUUUACCAGUACACAACUGGACACAAAGCUUCUUUGGUUUCAAAGAAAAGAAGAAACCCAUUCAGUUUACCUCAGGAAAGGGGCUUUAAUGCAAGAAUACAGAGGGGCUCGUGGGAAACCAAGAACAGGAACUGCUACACAGUGUGGCCUUGUGGCAAUAGGAUGGAACACUGUGGCUAAGAAGAGGAGCACUGGGCCAGGAGCCUCAGACCCAGGCGGCACUCCCGGCCUUCCUUCCAAUCAGCUCUGUGUCCUUCGGCAAGUCACUUUCCCUCUCCAAGCCUAGAGAUACAGCGAUACACACCUGUAUUCCCAGGAGCUCAGGAGGCUGAGGCAAACCAGUCGACUGCAGUCCAAAAUAUUAAAGGGAGAAUUCCAGAAACAAAGAAUUCCUAAGUUUUCAAUUGUGCCGCAUUCUGAGGAACAUGAUGAAAUCUUGCGCCAUCCCACUCUGUCCUGCUUGAGAGGAAACAAACAGGAGAAGAGACCAAGAGCCCUACUUGAUAAGCCGUCUCCUUCCUUUCCGGCUCCCACACCUCCAAGUGGCUCCUAAGACAGACUCAUUAGUAACAGAAGAAAAGAGACAGAGACAGACAAUAUCGUCUUUGCCCAUCUGAGUGUGCAGGGAGUGAAUUCUUGCUCUGAAGUCACGUUAUUGUCAUCAUCAACAUGUCAUAUUAUCAUUAUCAUCAAAAAGUCUUCAUGCUGGAGUCCGGGUCUGGACCCCUGUGGGGCCAGGAGGCUGCUCUUGGCUCUCAGGGCAGGAAUCAGGAAGCAGUGCUUUCCAGGCUGGCUGGGAAACAGGGCAGGGACAGGAAGCCGGGGAUCCAACCUCCCCCAAGGGAUCACACUGCCAGGAGAUCAAAGCAGAGCUUGAGCCCACACAGAUGGAUUUUGAAAUUCCCAGGUCAGUGUGAUUCCCUGGCCCUGCCGUUCUGGGUUUCCCCUCAGGUCCCCCCCACUCCUGACAGCCCGAGCAGGGCCUGUCACUAGGGCUCUGCACACUUGUAGGAUGCAGUGUCUUUU